CAGUAGCCACGGGAAUACGGAGGGGGCUAGCGUUGUUCGGAAUUACUGGGCGUAAAGCGCACGUAGGCGGCUUUGUAAGUCAGAGGUGAAAGCCUGGAGCUCAACUCCAGAACUGCCUUUGAGACUGCAUCGCUUGAAUCCAGGAGAGGUGAGUGGAAUUCCGAGUGUAGAGGUGAAAUUCGUAGAUAUUCGGAAGAACACCAGUGGCGAAGGCGGCUCACUGGACUGGUAUUGACGCUGAGGUGCGAAAGCGUGGGGAGCAAACAGGAUUAGAGACCCCUGUAGUCCCUGUCUCUUAUAC
This 301-nucleotide ribosomal RNA is filed under the name uncultured bacterium. RNAcentral's name for it is "partial 16S ribosomal RNA". It matches the Rfam family "Bacterial small subunit ribosomal RNA", at positions 509 to 807 of the family's 1533-position model. The record is from RNAcentral.